UGGGUAGACAUGAGCAAUCAGAAUCGAUAUAAUGCAUCCUUCAUUUCAGUACCUCCUAGGUCACCCAUCUCUGGCUUCAACAUACAAAACUUGUGUCAGAUACUCUUCAUGGUUAAGGUAUUCCCACAUGGUACAGAGAAGAACUUUCAAAAAGAUUAUGGAAUUUGGGCACCAACAUCAUUUCCAACCAUGAAGUUUUCCUAUGUAAACCACCUGGAAAAAGCCCCAGAUGUAGUGUGAAUUUCUUCAGGAUCUAAAAGAAGAGGAACUUUAGAGAUGAAGUUCCCACUGUGUUUCAUUAUUUUAAUUGUUGUAGUUACUGUAAGAAAUACUAUUAUUAGCCCAC
RNAcentral lists this long non-coding RNA (346 nucleotides) under Anas platyrhynchos (mallard). RNAcentral's name for it is "lncRNA (ENSAPLG00020013384.1)". Lineage: Eukaryota; Metazoa; Chordata; Aves; Anseriformes; Anatidae. The record is from RNAcentral.